AAAAUACAAAAAUUAGUCAGGAGUGGUGGUGCCCACCUAUAAUCCCAGCUACUCAGGAGGCUGAGGCAGGAGAAUCGCUUGAACGCGGGAGGCAGAGGUUGCAGUGAGCCGAGAUCAUGCCGCUGCACUCCAGCCCUGGUGACAGACCGAGACUGUUCUUUGAUCCAGGAUCCAGAUGAAGCCCACAUGUUGAAAUUGGUUGAUGUGUCUCUAAGUCUCCCUUAAAUUUCUCCUCCACCAAUUUCUUUUCUGUUCCUGCAUUUUCUUCUCUGAUCACACGGGCUUUUCUUCCAUAAUAGGAAGAGACAUGGAGGUGCCCAAGCCGGCUCUGGAUAAAGGCCUGUCCUCCUCUCUCCCCACAGGACCGGGACUUUGUAGCCAAGCAGAAGGAGGACCUGGAGCUGGCCAUGAAGAGGCUCACCACCGACAACAGGCGGGAGAUCUGUGACAAGGAGCGGGAGUGCCUCAUGAAGAAGCAGGAGCUCCUUCGAGACCGGGAAGCAGCCCUGUGGGAGAUGGAAGAGCACCAGCUGCAGGAGAGGCACCAGCUGGUGAAGCAGCAGCUCAAAGACCAGUACUUCCUCCAGCGGCACGAGCUGCUGCGCAAGCAUGAGAAGGAGCGGGAGCAGAUGCAGCGCUACAACCAGCGCAUGACAGAGCAGCUGAAGGUGC
This 672-nucleotide small RNA is filed under the name Pan troglodytes (chimpanzee). RNAcentral's name for it is "retained intron". The record is from RNAcentral. Lineage: Eukaryota; Metazoa; Chordata; Mammalia; Primates; Hominidae.